UGUGUGUGAUGAAGUAGGGCCACACAGCUGCUCAUUAUGCUAACAGCUCCAGGGCUGUGUCUCCACCAAUCACAGUGGAUCCUACAGCACCGACUGCACCCUCAAAAAAACACAGAAGAAGAAGAGACCUAUUAGUGCUCCAUAUGUUGAACUGUUGCAUAUAGGGAGUUGUUUACAGGUGAUGAGUUGAUGAUGCAACCAAACCAGGUGUGUUCUCUGUGAUGAGUUGAUGAUGCAACCAAACCAGGUGUGUUUCUCUGUGAUGAGUUGAUGAUGCAACCAAACCAGGUGUGUUUCUCUGUGAUGAGUUGAUGAUGCAACCAAACCAGGUGUGUUUCUCUGUGAUGAGUUGAUGAUGCAACCAAACCAGGUGUGUUUCUCUGUGAUGAGUUGAUGAUGCAACCAAACCAGGUGUGUUUCUCUGUGAUGAGUUGAUGAUGCAACCAAACCAGGUGUGUUUCUCUGUGAUGAGUUGAUGAUGCAACCAAACCAGGUGUGUUUCUCUGUGAUGAGUUGAUGAUGCAACCAAACCAGGUGUGUUUCUCUGUGAUGAGUUGAUGAUGCAACCAAACCAGGUGUGUUCUCUGUGAUUUGUUGAAUAGUUUAAUCGUAAGAAGUUGUGAUUGUUUUUCUGAUUAUUGAUGUUUGGUUAAGGUAACGCCAGUGAAUUUGAACAAAAAAGUAACGUAUUCUAAAAACGAUCUGGUUUCCGUUCUCAUUGCGGGGAACAAAGGAAAAGUCUUAUCUUAAAGGGACAGUGCACGGUAAUCACAGUGGUUUGAGUGUAUGACAGUGGGAAAAAAAUAUUGUAGGACGACAAUUCGAAGAGAGAAAAAUAAAUUACAUGAUACAUCAAGAGAUUUAAAACGAACGACGUGAAGGGAUCAUCAGAAUUAUUGGGUGUCGUUGUAGGAGUAAAUUCCCUGUUCCCAGAGACAAGGCAUUCUCUGCAUUUUCGCUAAUGCUGGUCUGAGUUGUAAUUAGACAAGUGAAUAACGUAUUGGGAAUAGAGUUGUAAUUAAAAUAUUAAGUCAAAAGUCAUACAGGUAUUAGUAUGUGUGAUCUUCGGGAACAUGUGUUGUACUUUCAUCCCGAAUGACACAGCUCCGGACGGAUCUGUGACCAAAGCCUUAGCUGGUUUGACCACCCUGGCUCACGAGUUGGCAGAAAACUCUGGGGUGGAUCCUUCCCUGACUAAUUGGUUUGAUAGUACAUUUGGAAAAUGGAAAAGUGUUGUAAUCACGGUGUUUUGGGCUGUAUCUACCUGUAUGACUUUUAAUUUUAUGCGGCUGUUGUCUAAUUCCCUGUGUGCGAGGCCUUGUUUCCAGGACUCUGGAAAGAUCAAUGACCCAACAGAUGGUGCGUUAUGGGCCGAUUCCAGAUUCUGACCUGUGGAGGACUUGAAGGCAUGUCUACAGAGGAAGUGGACGAAUCCGGAUCUGUCAUUUGUGGGGAAUUUAUGUUUGAUGAGGCUAGUGUUGAGAUAAAGGGGAAUUAGAUUGUAAUUUGUUUCCAUGAUUAAACUGUUUUUUUAAUGAAGGCCGUGACGAAAAUCCGGAAGGAAGUGUUAUGAUUCUGAUGUAGGUUUAAAAACAGUUGAGUUAAGGUUAGAAUUGAUUAAUGAAAUGUGGAGAGUUGGAUAAACAUUUAUAAUUGA
This is a long non-coding RNA of Oncorhynchus keta (chum salmon), 1657 nucleotides long. RefSeq lists it as uncharacterized. Lineage: Eukaryota; Metazoa; Chordata; Actinopteri; Salmoniformes; Salmonidae. The record is from RefSeq and is a predicted model, not a curated record. The transcript is spliced from 2 exons.